UACGUAGGGUGCUAGCGUUAUCCGGAUUUAUUGGGCGUAAAGCGAGCGCAGGCGGUUCCUUAAGUCUGAUGUGAAAGCCCCCGGCUCAACCGGGGAAGGUCAUUGGAAACUGGGGAACUUGAGUGCAGAAGAGGAGAGUGGAAUUCCAUGUGUAGCGGUGAAAUGCGUAGAUAUUAGGAGGAACACCAGUGGCGAAGGCGGCUUUCUGGACUGUAACUGACACUGAGGCACGAAAGCGUGGGUAGCAAACAGG
RNAcentral lists this ribosomal RNA (253 nucleotides) under uncultured bacterium. Its description in RNAcentral is "partial 16S ribosomal RNA". It matches the Rfam family "Bacterial small subunit ribosomal RNA", at positions 524 to 776 of the family's 1533-position model. The record is from RNAcentral.